Molecule: ribosomal RNA, 468 nt
Filed under: uncultured bacterium
Lineage: Bacteria
Description: partial 16S ribosomal RNA
Rfam family: Bacterial small subunit ribosomal RNA
Source: RNAcentral
GACGAACGCUGGCGGCGUGCUUAACACAUGCAAGUCGAACGGAAAGGCCCUGCUUUUGUGGGGUGCUCGAGUGGUGAACGGGUGAGUAACACGUGAGUAACCUGCCCUUGACUUUGGGAUAACUUCAGGAAACUGGGGCUAAUACCGGAUAGGAGCUCCUGCUGCAUGGUGGGGGUUGGAAAGUUUCGGCGGUUGGGGAUGGACUCGCGGCUUAUCAGCUUGUUGGUGGGGUAGUGGCUUACCAAGGCUUUGACGGGUAGCCGGCCUGGGAGGGUGACCGGCCACAUUGGGACUGAGAUACGGCCCAGACUCCUACGGGAGGCAGCAGUGGGGUAUAUUGCACAAUGGGCGGAAGCCUGAUGCAGCAACGCCGCGUGCGGGAUGACGGCCUUCGGGUUGUAAACCGCUUUCGCCUGUGACGAAGCGUGAGUGACGGUAAUGGGUAAAGAAGCACCGGCUAACUACGUG